GGGCCCGUAGCUCAGCGGUAGAGCAUCUGCAUGGCAUGCAGAGGGUCGCUGGUUCAAAUCCAGUCGGGUCCACCA
Molecule: transfer RNA, 75 nt
Filed under: Candidatus Berkelbacteria bacterium
Lineage: Bacteria; Candidatus Berkelbacteria
Description: tRNA-Ala
Rfam family: tRNA
About the family: Transfer RNA (tRNA) molecules are approximately 80 nucleotides in length. Their secondary structure includes four short double-helical elements and three loops (D, anti-codon, and T loops). Further hydrogen bonds mediate the characteristic L-shaped molecular structure. tRNAs have two regions of fundamental functional importance: the anti-codon, which is responsible for specific mRNA codon recognition, and the 3' end, to which the tRNAs corresponding amino acid is attached (by aminoacyl-tRNA synthetases). tRNAs cope with the degeneracy of the genetic code in two manners: having more than one tRNA (with a specific anti-codon) for a particular amino acid; and 'wobble' base-pairing, i.e. permitting non-standard base-pairing at the 3rd anti-codon position.
Source: RNAcentral